Molecule: ribosomal RNA, 469 nt
Filed under: uncultured bacterium
Lineage: Bacteria
Description: partial 16S ribosomal RNA
Rfam family: Bacterial small subunit ribosomal RNA
Source: RNAcentral
GACGAACGCUGGCGGCGUGCUUAACACAUGCAAGUCGAACGGAAAGGCCCUGCUUGCAGGGUGCUCGAGCGGCGAACGGGUGAGUAACACGUGGGUGAUCUGCCCCUUACUUUGGGAUAAGCCUGGGAAACUGGGUCUAAUACUGGAUAGGACCAUGCUGUAGGUGGUGUGGUGGAAAGAUUAGUUUCGGUAAGGGAUGAGCUCGCGGCCUAUCAGCUUGUUGGUGGGGUAAUGGCCUACCAAGGCGUCGACGGGUAGCCGGCCUGAGAGGGUGGACGGCCACAUUGGGACUGAGAUACGGCCCAGAAUCCUACGGGAGGCAGCAGUGGGGAAUAUUGCACAAUGGGCGCAAGCCUGAUGCAGCGACGCCGCGGGGGGGAUGACGGCCUUCGGGUUGUAAACUCCUUUCAGCCAUGACGAAGCCCUUGUGGUGACGGUAGUGGUAGAAGAAGCACCGGCUAACUACGUG